Molecule: long non-coding RNA, 777 nt
Filed under: Marmota monax (woodchuck)
Lineage: Eukaryota; Metazoa; Chordata; Mammalia; Rodentia; Sciuridae
Source: RNAcentral
UAAUUUAAAUCUCUUUUGUUUUUUUCAGGGUUUUUUUUUUUUUUUUUUCCUGCUAUGAUGAAAAGACCUUACCUGAUCAGAGCAAUUGUAGAGGAGAAAAGUUUAUUUGGGGACUCAACAGUUUCAGAGAUCUCAACCUAUAGACAGCAGACUUCCUUCCUCAGGGCUCAGGAUGAGGCUGAACAUAAUGGCAGAAAAGUGUGGCAGAUGGAGGAAGCAUACGUGAUGAUCAUAAAGAGUCAUAAAGAGAGAGAGGGGUCUCUACUUGCCAGAUAAAAAUAUAUACUCCAAAGCCCUGGCCCCAAUGCCCCCCAGCCUCUUCCAGCCACACCCAACAAACUUCCACUAAAACAGAGCUCCAGGAGAGCUGUGGCAUUUGACUGCUAUAUUUAUCCUUAAUUUCCAGCUAUUAUUAACUCACCAAAAUUUAAAGUGUCAAGUUAUUUCACUUUCAAUAUUUGUGCAAUUUUGUACAUACUGGGGGAAAAGAGGAAUGUAAGCCAAUGUAUUUUGCAUUUUCUGAAAAUGACAAAAUCGUCUUAACCCCUUCACUUAAAAUUGGAAAACUGCAAUGAACAUUAUGCUUUCAUAAUAUCAUAAAUUCAUGUGAUUAGGCAAUAUUUUCAUGCCCACUGCCAAGAACACUAAAUGUUUUAUGGAAAUAAGAUUGCUAAUAUUUUAAUUCAGAUAUAUCAACACAUCUAAAUUGCUCCUCUUCUAUAAAUAUUAUUAUAAUAUUAAACAUAAUAUUAUAGUCAUUUAAAUUGUUAUACUUGC